This 460-nucleotide ribosomal RNA is filed under the name uncultured bacterium. RNAcentral describes it as "partial 16S ribosomal RNA". It matches the Rfam family "Bacterial small subunit ribosomal RNA", at positions 338 to 795 of the family's 1533-position model. The record is from RNAcentral.
CCUACGGGGGGCAGCAGUGAGGAAUAUUGGUCAAUGGGCUUACGCCUGAACCAGCCAAGUCGCGUGAGGGAAGACUGCCCUAUGGGUUGUAAACCUCUUUUGUCAGGGAGCAACGCCGGCUACGUGUAGCCGGACUGAGAGUACCUGAAGAAAAAGCAUCGGCUAACUCCGUGCCAGCAGCCGCGGUAAUACGGAGGAUGCGAGCGUUAUCCGGAUUUAUUGGGUUAAAAGGGUGCGUAGGCGGAAUGCCAAGUCAGCGGGAAAAUCGCGGGGCUCAACCGCGCUCCGCCGUUGAAACUGGCGUUCUUGAGUGGGCGAGAAGUAUGCGGAAUGCGUGGUGUAGCGGUGAAAUGCAUAGAGAUCACGCAGAACUCCGAUUGCGAAGGCAGCAUACCGGCGCCCAACUGACGCUGAAGUACGAAAGCGUGGGUAUCGAACAGGAUUAGAUACCCCAGUAGUC